RNAcentral lists this ribosomal RNA (1428 nucleotides) under uncultured Bacteroidota bacterium. RNAcentral describes it as "bacterial SSU rRNA". It matches the Rfam family "Bacterial small subunit ribosomal RNA". The record is from RNAcentral. Lineage: Bacteria; Pseudomonadati; Bacteroidota.
UCAGGAUGAACGCUAGCGGCAGGCCUAACACAUGCAAGUCGAGGGGUUAGAAGCUUGCUUUUGAUGACGACCGGCGCACGGGUGCGUAACGCGUAUGCACCUACCUUUUACAGGGGAAUAGCCUUUAGAAAUGAAGAUUAAUGCCCCAUGGUACCUCCUGGUUAAAACUUGUGGUAAAAGAUGGGCAUGCGUCCUAUUAGUUAGUUGGUAAGGUAACGGCUUACCAAGACUGCGAUAGGUAGGGGCCCUGAGAGGGGGAUCCCCCACACUGGUACUGAGACACGGACCAGACUCCUACGGGAGGCAGCAGUGAGGAAUAUUGGACAAUGGGCGAGAGCCUGAUCCAGCCAUGCCGCGUGCAGGAAGACUGCCUAUGGGUUGUAAACUGCUUUUAUACAGGAAGAACACCCCUACGUGUAGGGGCUUGACGGUACUGUAAGAAUAAGGAUCGGCUAACUCCGUGCCAGCAGCCGCGGUAAUACGGAGGAUCCAAGCGUUAUCCGGAAUCAUUGGGUUUAAAGGGUCCGUAGGUGGAUGAUUAAGUCAGAGGUGAAAUCCUGCAGCUCAACUGUAGAAUUGCCUUUGAAACUGGUCAUCUUGAGUUAUUAUGAAGUAGUUAGAAUAUGUAGUGUAGCGGUGAAAUGCAUAGAUAUUACAUAGAAUACCAAUUGCGAAGGCAGAUUACUAAUAAUAUACUGACACUGAUGGACGAAAGCGUGGGGAGCGAACAGGAUUAGAUACCCUGGUAGUCCACGCCGUAAACGAUGGUCACUAGCUGUUCGGACUUCGGUUUGAGUGGCUAAGAGAAAUUGAUAAGUGACCCACCUGGGGAGUACGUUCGCAAGAAUGAAACUCAAAGGAAUUGACGGGGGCCCGCACAAGCGGUGGAGCAUGUGGUUUAAUUCGAUGAUACGCGAGGAACCUUACCAGGGCUUAAAUGUGAUUGACAGGACUAGAGAUAGUUUUUCCUUCGGGCAAUUUACAAGGUGCUGCAUGGUUGUCGUCAGCUCGUGCCGUGAGGUGUCAGGUUAAGCCCUAUAACGAGCGCAACCCCUGUUGUUAGUUACCAGCGAGUCAUUCGGGAACUCUAACAAGACUGCCAGUGCAAACUGGAGGAAGGUGGGGAUGACGUCAAAUCAUCACGGCCCUUACGUCCUGGGCUACACACGUGCUACAAUGGUAGGUACAGAGAGCAGCCACUGCGUGAGCAGGAGCGAAUCUAUAAAACCUAUCACAGUUCGGAUUGGAGUCUGCAACUCGACUCCAUGAAGCUGGAGUUGCUAGUAAUCCCGGAUCAGAACGCCGGGGUGAAUACGUUCCCGGGCCUUGUACACACCGCCCGUCACACCACGAAAGUUGGCAACACCCGAAGUCAGUGGCCUAACUCGCAAGAGGGAGCUGCCGAAGGUGGGGUUAGCGAUUGGGGUG